RNAcentral lists this ribosomal RNA (492 nucleotides) under uncultured bacterium. Its description in RNAcentral is "partial 16S ribosomal RNA". It matches the Rfam family "Bacterial small subunit ribosomal RNA", at positions 29 to 507 of the family's 1533-position model. The record is from RNAcentral.
AGUGAACGCUGGCGGUAGGCCUAACACAUGCAAGUCGAACGGCAGCACAGUAAGAGCUUGCUCUUACGGGUGGCGAGUGGCGGACGGGUGAGGAAUACAUCGGAAUCUACUUUUUCGUGGGGGGUAACGUAGGGAAACUUACGCUAAUACCGCAUACGACCUACGGGUGAAAGCAGGGGAUCUUCGGACCUUGCGCGAUUGAAUGAGCCGAUGUCGGAUUAGCUAGUUGGCGGGGUAAAGGCCCACCAAGGCGACGCUCCGUAGCUGGUCUGAGAGGAUGAUCAGCCACAACGGAACUGAGACACGGUCCAGACUCCUACGGGAGCCAGCAGUGGGGAAUAUUGGACAAUGGGCGCAAGCCUGAUCCAGCCAUACCGCGUGGGUGAAGAAGGCCUUUGGGUUGUAAAGCCCUUUUGUUGGGAAAGAAAAGCAGCAGGUUAAUACCCCGCUGUUCUGACGGUACUCAAAGAAUACGCACCGGCUAACUUCGUG